AUCUUGUGUCCUAAUUUUAACAAAAAUUUUAACAAAACUUUGUUCUGCCCAUGGUGCAGUCAGGGGACAAAGGAAGAGUGAGCACAGUAAGAGCAGAGGGGCCAGAUCAUCCUGGAGCAAAACCUGAGUGGGCUUGGAAGUUUUGUUACUUCUGAGGGGCUCUGAGGCAGCAAGAUCCUCAGUUGCCUGCUCAGUAAUUGUGGAGCUGCUCUGCUUCCUUCAGAUGGAAUGGAUAAUCCUUCCCAACUCCAAGCACCUUGUUCCAGACCUUUCCCCCUGCCAUGAGUGGAGAGGAGACAUGUGGCUCCUGCUUGAGGAAAGCAGAAGAGGCAUUUCCAUCCUGAAGGCAAUGGCUGGAAGGGCUGCCUGGGCUCUGACCUGCUGCAGUGUUUCUCCUCUGCUGAUUGACUCAUUUCCUGGAAAUCUCUGA
RNAcentral lists this long non-coding RNA (430 nucleotides) under Serinus canaria (Common canary). Its description in RNAcentral is "lncRNA (ENSSCAG00000009726.1)". Lineage: Eukaryota; Metazoa; Chordata; Aves; Passeriformes; Fringillidae. The record is from RNAcentral.